AAACGACGCCAUUUUGUUGUUUAUUGCUGUAGCAAAUCUCACGACUCUGCUCUCAUUUCGCUCUGUGUUUCUCCUAUCUGGUGAUUUCUGCAUCAUGUAUGCAAGUGCUGCCAGGGUCUACCACCAAGCUCAAGACAAGCUCCACAAGAAAGGAUCUCCUCUGCAGACGGUCUCCCCCGUCGCCAUUCCUGUCCCUCGUCCAGUAGGUUGUGUGUAGGGGAACAACAUGUUGGGACUUGGUUGAUGCAUGUCAUCGAUCCCAAUUGCGUGGAUCGAUGCUCAUCAUAUCAAUCACUGGAUUGUCUGGUCCUGACUCGAUUAUUUACAGACCGCCAUCAUAUAUAGCUGGAAUAUUUCUGAGUGUGGCGUUAAACAACAAACAAACAAACAAACAAACAAACAACAUGUAGGGAACACAACCAACUGUGCAUUCACGGAACCUGUAACAAGCUUGAAUUACACGUUACUUUCAAAAUUAUUCAACAAGUCGAUAUUCUCACAUAUAGCCUAGUAGACUUGCGGGACAUGGUACAUUGAGUCACGUUUCGCUACCCUCGUUAUUUUUACCAUUCUAGUCCGUUGUUUCAUUACUUAUUUGUGUAAUCAAAUAGAGGCUUCUUUUCUGUCUCCCCUCCCAGUGUUCCGAUACUGAGUGGAUGAUCCGCAUCAACCCCCUAUCUGUCCUGCCCAACCCCCUGACCCCUGUCCCAGCCCCUACCAGCACUGCCUACAUGGAGAUUAUUCUUGUGGACGAAGAAGCCCUGAGGCAGCCACGAUCAUGUGUCCCGACUGUGUUUUCUUUCCUGAAGAGUCUCUUCACUGUGUGUUAGGUGGACGUUUGAAAUGGCACCUAAUAUCACAGUGGACAUUUAGUGUACUUUCCCUUUUGGCACCUUUCGGACAAACCUUUUGGAUACUUUCAAUUUUGGACAUUUUCGACAGUUAGUGCAUAUACGAAACAAUUAUAGUUUUAAAAUUAUCUAUUAAAUAUGUGGUGAGCUCAAAUGUCGUUCAGUUGUUUUAUUCAGUCACCUGUCAAGGAGUGUCUAGAUGAUAUCAUCUUUCAGUAUUUUCCAUAUAGAUUUAUUUUAUUAAAUUUGUCUCAGUUUUGAAA
Long non-coding RNA from Haliotis rufescens (red abalone), 1114 nucleotides. RefSeq lists it as uncharacterized. The record is from RefSeq and is a predicted model, not a curated record. NCBI's taxonomy places the organism in Eukaryota, Metazoa, Mollusca, Gastropoda, Lepetellida, Haliotidae. The transcript is spliced from 2 exons.